GCCUGGGGGCCGCCAUCCUUCUGGCUCUGAACCCUGGGGCCUCAUGCUGAGUGCUACAAGGUCCAAGGCCACAGCAGCCCUGAAGCACUGUUCCACCGUGUGUCCUCGGGGCCAGUCCUUCCUGACAGCAGCGGACUGUUCCUCAGAGCCUUUCCCUGAAAAAUAGCCUCCUACUUCCUUAAAGACUUUAAUUUUGAGAUGACCUGGGAAGAUAACCAAAAUGUUGAUAUCUAAGAUCAAUAAAAAAUAAUUAUUAUUCAGAUAAAUAUUUAUGGAUGCCAGUAUUAAAAUGCCAUGAAAUUGUUCAUUUCCACUGAUGCUAUUAUUCAUUAAAUAAUAAUUACCUUGUAUUCAGAAAAAAUGUGAUGAUAUAUGGCUUAUUAUUUAAGUCCAAGGUGUGGUCACUGUAGUUUUCCCACCACCAAAGCACCCAUAGUCCUUCACCCACUGAGGAAUAUUUUAAAGAAAGUCUUAUUAACCC
Molecule: long non-coding RNA, 481 nt
Organism: Talpa occidentalis (Iberian mole)
Lineage: Eukaryota; Metazoa; Chordata; Mammalia; Eulipotyphla; Talpidae
Exons: 4
Source: RefSeq, a predicted model, not a curated record